AGGAAAAGAGAAAAAAGAUGUAACUUGAAAUUCUCACAUCUUAAUGGUAAGUCUAUUAGAAAUUAUAUAUCACCAUACCGUAAAGUUGUAACAGAGAAAUAGAAUCAAUUGUAUUGACAAGUAUUAAUAUUUCUUCUGUAUUCUUAUUCGUAUAUCUUAACAAAGUGAUAAAUGUAAAAUUGGAUUGGUCAUGACUUAAAACUUUUGUCAUGUUUUCUUCUACUUUUGGCAGAAAGAAGAAGUCAUUUAAUUACUUGCUUAUUGUUUUAUUAUGUAUAGAGGAGAUUUUGAUACCAAGACUUCUCAAAUGUUAAAGUGCAUAAAAAUCACCCAGUGAUCUUAAAAUUCAAGCUCUAGUUCAUUAGAUCUGGGUUGGGAGUGGAGGGUCUACAUUUCUAACAAGUAUCCCUGUGUUACCUAUACUGUCUGGCAGGACCUGAGAUUUCUUCCAAAGGAUAUUUCCAUUCCACAGAUAUUGGUGCUCUAUUCCCAGUCCUUCUCCAGAAAUCACUACUGAAAAAUGGGGUGUCCUGAGAUACUUUGGCAAGAGUCGAGAAGAAAACUAAAGUUUGCCUUUGCUGGCUGAAACCUCUUACUCCCUGUUAUGGCUUAGACCUAAAAUGGUCCCAGAAUCCUUGUGUGUUUGGAAAAUGAUUGGAUCCGGUGGUGCUAUUAGGCAUAGAGCCAAAUGUGCUGUUAAGAGGUGUGACUUUCUUAGAAAAGGCAGAUCACUGGUGACCUGAGCCACCUAAGACUCUCUGGCUAUGUCUCUCUCUGGCUCCUCUCUUCUCCCUGUGCUUCUUGGUCGCCAUGACAUGAGCAGCUUUCCUUUGUAGCAGGCCCUUCCACCACGUGAACUUCACCUUGGAGCCUGCCAACCACGGACUGAACCUUUUGAAAUGGAUCCACCCUGUGCUCAGCUUACCUUGCCCAUGAUCAUAAUCAUUGCCAGGAGCUGUCCACGUCAGGUUGAUGACACUGUAACCCUGCACCUUUGCCCUCAGGUCAGUGAUCUGACAAGGUGGGAAGAGGUCAGGGAUGGGAGCUUUUGGGACAUGAGAGGCCACAAACGAACCUCCUGAAGAUGUUCUGCUGAAACACACUUUUUUAUUUUGAACUUCAGUCUUAUUAUUUGCAGGUCUUGGCGGAUUCAAUUGUAUUUUACCUGUAUUAAAAGAUCAUUUAAAAUACGGCUUGCAAUCUGGAUGGAAUAAAAAGGAAAAGAAGAAAAAAGAUUCUGACUUCUGCUUACCCUUCUAUGGACUGCUUCUCUGCCACGCAAACCUGCUUUGGAACCAGCUGACUAUAAUGAAAGCGCUAUAAAAUGUGGCCUGAAAUAAACCUUUUUGCCUUUAACUUGUGGCUGUUGGAUAUUUUGUCCUAGACACAAGAAACUAAUAUAGGUGUCUUUUAAAGCAUAUCCCUAUGAUCAUCUUUGCUGAGAAGACACACUAUAUUCCAGAAUCCUCCUUCACCCAAGAAAAGAGAUAAGAUCUUUCUUCACUUGAGUGACAAGAAAAGGCCUGCCAAAACACAGUGGAGAUGGAUGGAAAACAAGCCCUGGAACCUGUUAGACUCAGUCUUUGCCCCAAUCCCUGCACUUGUCCAGGGCAGGUUCUUGUAACAAGAGUGGUGUGGAAUUAUCUAUUUCAUAAACAUCGUUUUCCCAUCUGGUUACACGUAGGCUCAGCGUGCUGGCUAGCACAAUUAGUCUACUGUCCUUCUUGGUCUGAGUUCGAAGAAGGGAGGCAAGAGACAGAGUGGGUUACGGAAAUCCUGAUGUAGAUGACAAGUUCUAACUUAUAUUUUCAUUUUGUGGAAAAGUUAAUGUUAGUAAA
Long non-coding RNA from Cavia porcellus (domestic guinea pig), 1838 nucleotides. RefSeq lists it as uncharacterized. The record is from RefSeq and is a predicted model, not a curated record. The transcript is spliced from 3 exons. Lineage: Eukaryota; Metazoa; Chordata; Mammalia; Rodentia; Caviidae.